RNAcentral lists this transfer RNA (67 nucleotides) under Bos taurus (domestic cattle). It matches the Rfam family "tRNA". From Rfam's summary of the family: Transfer RNA (tRNA) molecules are approximately 80 nucleotides in length. The record is from Rfam by way of RNAcentral. Lineage: Eukaryota; Metazoa; Chordata; Mammalia; Artiodactyla; Bovidae. RNAcentral also lists the same sequence under 2 other names.
ACCCUGGUGGCUCAGAGGUUAAAGCAUCUGCCUGCAAUGCAGGAUAUCUGAGUUUGAUCCCUGGGUG